GCUCACGUGCCGACUUCGUGCGUUAUGUCUGCAGCGGUGUUCAUUGUGCGGAGAGCCGCUGCUGUGUCUAGUGAUAGCCCUCAAGUCGAACAGUUCAGUGCGAGAGUUGCGCCUCGGUGACAACCGCCUGGGACCGUCGGACGCCGCGCAAAUCGCCGCGUUACUCCGGCUUAAUGCCAGGAUACAGCUGUUAGACCUCUCCAAUAACCAGAUACAGGAUACGGGUUUGGGUCACAUAGCGGACGCUUUGGUCGAGCAGGGCGCCCAAACUCCACCGUCGGCCGCCGCGUCACCCGCGUCGCCGGUAUCCCCUCA
Long non-coding RNA from Ostrinia nubilalis (European corn borer), 315 nucleotides. RefSeq lists it as uncharacterized. Lineage: Eukaryota; Metazoa; Arthropoda; Insecta; Lepidoptera; Crambidae. The transcript is spliced from 3 exons. The record is from RefSeq and is a predicted model, not a curated record.